AACUGAUACUACCUGCGGGAACCUGCGGAGGGAUCAUUACAGGACUCGCAAGACUCCUACAACCCUGUGAACUUAACUAUAAGCACGUUGCUUCGGCGGGUGUCUCGGCGAGGGUUCUCCCUCCCCGGGGCGCUAAGCCCGCCGGCGGCCUACUAUACUCUGUCUCUUUGCGUUGGCAUCUCGAGUACAAACAAACAAGUUAAAACUUUCAACAACGGAUCUCUAGAUCGGAAGAGCACA
Molecule: unclassified non-coding RNA, 240 nt
Filed under: soil metagenome
Description: partial contains 5.8S ribosomal RNA, internal transcribed spacer 2, and large subunit ribosomal RNA
Source: RNAcentral